UAGCGACGCGUUGUUUACCCAUUAUGCCAUUCGGCCAGUUGACGGUUGCUUUUGGCUUUUGUUGUUUUUAUUUAUACUGAAAAAUGGCAUCGGAAGUGAAAAAUUUAGAAGCCUACGGCAUCAUUGGGUUCGAUGGUUCAGCAAUCAGAGGCCUUAAGAUCCAUCCAGAUUGCGAACAUAUCGUGUACCCAAUGGGCAACAAAGUUUGCAUCCAAGAGUGGAAGACAAAAAAGAUGUACUUCCUCAGCGGACAUUCCAACAGCGUGUCGACUGUAGCAAUUUCCCCAAAAGGAACCUACGUAGGAUCUGGUCAAAUUAAUCACAUUGGAUUUAAAGCGUCUGCAAAAGUUUGGGACUUCAACAAACGGGUGCAAGUCGGCAGUCAUGAGUUGCACAAAGUGCGCGUGGAAGCCCUAACGUUCUCCUCUGACGAGCGCUACAUGAUAUCCCUAGGCGGUCGGGAUGAUGGCUGCGUGGUGCUGUGGGACUGUCUGGCUGGAGCCGCCACUGGUACGGCAGCCGCUGCCAAACUCACAACUGGAGAUGCCAUAACCUUGACAGCAUUGAAUUUGAGAGCUAAUUCUUAUGUUACUGGAGGAGACUCGAAUCUCCGCGUGUGGAACAUUCGCGCGGAGAGCAAGAACUUGGACGUUGUGGACGUGUCCCUCGGCAAGCUGCGCAGGACCGUCCGCUGCAUCGCCAUCAGCAGGGACGAUGCUUUCGGAUACGCUGGUACUACCACGGGUGACAUGAUUAAGUUCUCCAUAAAUUACCCGCCCGACCCCUUCGCUUCCAUCGCCCAUUGCAAGCCGGCGCUACUGGGGUGUCUAGCCAAAUGUGGUCCUUGGAAGAGAGGCAGGAAACCGGAUUCAAUUUGCUAUAGUCAAGGAAUAGAAUCGAUUCUGAUAAUGGACGACGGUUGUUUGAUUGUUGGCGCCGGAGAUGGCACCAUCGACAUCCUGGACGAAAUAAACUGGAAGGGCAGCUUCCCUAAAGGCAAGAUAUUGGAUCCGAAUAUACCGCACUUUAAGGCUUUGAAAACAACAAAAUUAGAGGGGAGCAUCACAUCGUUGGAGUUGAUGGAGUCACCGAAGCUCCAAGGCGCAAAGCGUCUCCUCCUCGCCGGCACGAGGACCAGCGAGAUAUACGCCAUAGACAUCGGCACGUUCGCUCCCGCCCUCGUGGUCACGUGCCAUCGGUGCGCCAUCAACGACAUCGCUUUUCCCAGAGGCAUGUCGGGCGUGUUCGCGACGGGCGGCGCGGGCGACGUGCGCGUGUGGGCUCGCGACACGUGCCAGGAACUGCUCAGGAUCGUGGUGCCCAACUUCACGUGCUCCGCUCUGCUGUUCUCCGGGGACGGCAAGUCUAUUGUUUCCGCAUGGAACGACGGUAACAUAAGAGCGUUCACUCCCCUUACCGGUCGACUGAUGUACUGCAUCUACAACACGCACAAUAAAGGCACUUCGGCCUUGGACAUGACUAAUGACGGCAGGACUCUAAUUUCUGGUGGAUGCGAGGGACAGGUGAGAGUGUGGGACAUAAGGCCCGAGAGUCAGACGUUGAAGAAGGUGCUGAAAGAGCACAAGUCCCCCGUGUCCGCUAUACAAGUGUCGCCCAACAACACGGAGGCGGUCAGCGCCGGCACCGACGGCUCCUGCAUCAUAUGGGACCUCGUGUCGCUGUCGCGUAGGCAGGUGAUGUACGCGAACACGCUGUUUAUGUGUGUGUGCUUCGAGCCGCGAGGGUGCCAGCUACUCACCGGGGGGACCGACCGCCGGGUCGCGUACUGGGAGACGGCCAGCGGGAACCUCGCUAGAGAACUCGAAGCGAGUAAAGCCGGCGCAAUCAACGGGCUCGAUAUAUCUAGCGACGGGGAACUGUUCGUCACCGGCGGGAAUGAUCAGAUGGUUAAGGCAGACGAGCAUACGGCCCACCUGAUGAUGAGUGGUUACCGUCGCUCAUGGACUUCAGCAUUGCCAGGGGAGAGCCAAGCCACUGCCUACCGAGCGCCAAGCCGCCGCCUACCGCGGUUGUUGUGGUUGUGUGCAGCUGUGGCGCUACCAGGAGGGCGUGUACACACACGCGGGGCUGGCGCACGCGGGCGCCGUCACGUGCUGCCGGUUCUCGCCCGCCGGGGACUGCGUCGUCAGCUGCUGCUCCGCCGGCUGCGUCAUCGUGUGGAAAGUUCCAGACCAAUACAUUACAAAAGAUCGAGCACCCGCGGAUAGGAAAAGCAUCACAGAAUCUCCGAAAACAUUGCAAGAUGAAUUAAAACUGCCUCUGUCUGAGAAGACCAAGGGGUCUGGCGAUCGACAGUUUAAAUUGCCUGGUGCUCCAUCUAAGGUGGAGAAAAUAGAAGCCAUGGACACAAGCCGAAGCAGCAUCCACUCGUGCUGUCCCUGCGAGGCUACGGCACGAUCCAGCAACAAAACUCCCCCGAAAAACAGCGGGGUUAAGUGCUGCAAGCCUCCAG
Molecule: RNA transcript, 2473 nt
Organism: Bombyx mori (domestic silkworm)
Lineage: Eukaryota; Metazoa; Arthropoda; Insecta; Lepidoptera; Bombycidae
Gene name: cilia- and flagella-associated protein 52
Exons: 15
Source: RefSeq, a predicted model, not a curated record